Myotis brandtii (Brandt's bat) is the source of this 382-nucleotide long non-coding RNA. RefSeq lists it as uncharacterized. The transcript is spliced from 4 exons. The record is from RefSeq and is a predicted model, not a curated record. NCBI's taxonomy places the organism in Eukaryota, Metazoa, Chordata, Mammalia, Chiroptera, Vespertilionidae.
AUCGCUUCCCAGACCCACUAGAGCACCCACCUGGGGGGAACGAAGCUAUCAGAACUACUAGGAAGAGAAUUUUACAUCCCAAGGCUCCAGAAAAUAUCUCAAGACUUGGCUAGGAGGUGCCAAGUGUGUGCCCGGGUAAAUCAAGGGCCCCCUGUUGUGGCCACGCCGGGACAGCAAUUCUGAGGUCAGAACCCCGGAGAACACUGGGAAGUGGACUUCACCGAGAUACCAGGCGGACAGGAGGGUAUAAGUACCUGCUGGUUUUCAUUGAUACCUUCUCUGGCUGGCCUGAGGCAUACCCAACCAAGGCAGAGACAGUACAGGUAGUAGUUAGAAAACUCCUCACUGAAAUUGUCCCCCGGAGACCGGAAGAGCUUCGUGU